UCGGACAUGGUGUACGGAACACCUCCAGCUUUCCUCAGGUUCUCGUACAGAACAGUUGCUGGCAGUCCGGGGUUCGACUCCCCGUGUCCGAA
Mycena olivaceomarginata is the source of this 92-nucleotide non-coding RNA. Lineage: Eukaryota; Fungi; Basidiomycota; Agaricomycetes; Agaricales; Mycenaceae. The record is from the annotation of a GenBank genome assembly.